Molecule: ribosomal RNA, 245 nt
Filed under: uncultured bacterium
Lineage: Bacteria
Description: partial 16S ribosomal RNA
Rfam family: Bacterial small subunit ribosomal RNA
Source: RNAcentral
UACAUAGGGGGCGAGCGUUGUCCGGAUUUAUUGGGCGUAAAGCGCACGUAGGUGGCAAGCUAAGUUGGAUUUGAAAGAUCAGGGCUCAACCCUGAUUUGGGUUCAAAACUGGCUUGCUAGAGAGUAGGAGAGGGAAGUGGAAUUCACGGUGUAGCGGUGAAAUGCGUAGAUAUCGUGAGGAACACCAGUGGCGAAGGCGGCUUCCUGGACUACUUCUGACACUAAGGUGCGAAAGCGUGGGGAGC